AUGUCUCAAAAAAACACUCAACGCCCGAUCCAGAUCCCCAAUCCCGUCUCCGCUCCCACCUCCUCUCCUCCUCUCCCAAGCCCCAACCCACCAUGGAGGGGGAGCCGCCCGCGCAGCCCCCCCCCAAGCGCCACCACCGCCUACGGCUCGCCCCGCCGCAGGGUGUGGAAGCGGUGCGUCCACUCCGGCCAGCACGACAGCGCCACCCGGGGCCAUGCCACCGCCGCCGACUUCGCGCCCGUGCCCAGGAUGUGCCGCCUCGUCAUGGCCAACUACGCCCCGCCCGACCUCCUCUCUUGCCACCCCCUCGACCCCUCAAACAUCGUGCGCCGCCGCACCUACGCCGACACGGGGGGCCGGGUCACGCCCUACCUCGUCUACCUCGACCACGCGCACGCUGACUUCGUGCUCACGCUGCGCGGCCUCAACCUCGGCCGCGAGUCCGACUAUGCGUUGCUCCUCGGCAAGGUUGGCGCCGCGAGUCCGACUACGAGCCUAAACCAUGUCCACAACGGCCUCCUCCGCGCCGCCGGCUGGGUGCUCGACAGGGAGUGCGACCUGCUCCGGGACCUCGUCGAUCGGUACCCUGCCUACACGCUCACCUUCACAGGCCACUCCCUCGGCGCCGGCGUCACCGCCAUGCUCACCAUGGUCGUCGUGCUCAACCUCGACAAGCUCGGCAAGGUCGAGAGGGGCCGCACCAGGUGCUACGCCAUGGCCCCCGCCCGCUGUAUGUCGCUCAACCUCGCCGUCAGAUACGCCGAUAUCAUCAACUCCGUUGUGCGGCAGGUGACUCACUGA
Molecule: ribosomal RNA, 801 nt
Filed under: Triticum aestivum (bread wheat)
Lineage: Eukaryota; Viridiplantae; Streptophyta; Magnoliopsida; Poales; Poaceae
Description: partial small subunit ribosomal RNA
Source: RNAcentral